UCCCUAGUAGUCUAGUGGUUAGGAUUCUGAGCUUUGAAUGUAGGGGGUGCAGGUUCAAUCCCUGGUUGGGGAA
Bos taurus (domestic cattle) is the source of this 73-nucleotide non-coding RNA. NCBI's taxonomy places the organism in Eukaryota, Metazoa, Chordata, Mammalia, Artiodactyla, Bovidae. The record is from Rfam.